UCAUUGUUUAAGAGACAAAUCUCACCGUGAUACUGCUGACCCUGAAAAAUAGCAGGUUUCACUUUAUUUUAAAUUCCCACAUGUUUCUUUUUUUUUUUAAGUUCCACUUGAUACCAACUAUAUUAAAAAUGCACAAUUUAAUCAGAACAAGGGCUGACCAUUUUGAAGGACCUUUAUUUCCUUGAUGCUCCCGGUCUUUGUCUCCACCGUCUAUCGUCUCUCAUCGAAUGGCUGAGCUCUGUGUGCGUCACGAAGGGCAAUUCCUUCUCCUUGGGUUUGUUUUGGAGCCUGAGUGGGGAGCGUGUCUACCUGAGUCGCCUUGGGCAUGCUCUCUCCUGUCUUCACAUGUGAUGUAGGAACAGUGAAAGACCUUAGCUCAUGGGAAGGCUGGGAAAAUCCGAGGUAAGGACAGUCAGCAAAGACUGUUGCUUUGGCUCAGCCUAGG
RNAcentral lists this long non-coding RNA (445 nucleotides) under Mus spicilegus (steppe mouse). RNAcentral's name for it is "lncRNA (ENSMSIG00000016712.1)". Lineage: Eukaryota; Metazoa; Chordata; Mammalia; Rodentia; Muridae. The record is from RNAcentral.